GCUCCAGUGGUGCAAUUGGUUAGCACGUGGUCCUUAUAAUGCUGAGAUUGUGAGUUUGAGCCUCACCUGGAGCA
This 74-nucleotide transfer RNA is filed under the name Scleropages formosus (Asian bonytongue). RNAcentral's name for it is "tRNA-Ile". It matches the Rfam family "tRNA". From Rfam's summary of the family: Transfer RNA (tRNA) molecules are approximately 80 nucleotides in length. The record is from RNAcentral. Lineage: Eukaryota; Metazoa; Chordata; Actinopteri; Osteoglossiformes; Osteoglossidae.